This 373-nucleotide ribosomal RNA is filed under the name uncultured bacterium. Its description in RNAcentral is "bacterial SSU rRNA". It matches the Rfam family "Bacterial small subunit ribosomal RNA", at positions 523 to 898 of the family's 1533-position model. The record is from RNAcentral.
AUACGGAGGAUGCGAGCGUUAUCCGGAUUUAUUGGGUUUAAAGGGUGCGUAGGCUGGUUGUUAAGUCAGCGGUGAAAUUUCGGGGCUCAACCCCGGCAGUGCCGUUGAAACUGGGAGCCUUGAGUACAGAGCAAGUAAGCGGAAUUUGUGGUGUAGCGGUGAAAUGCAUAGAUAUCACGAGGAAUGCCGAUUGCGCAAGCAGCUUACUGUCUUGUCACUGACGCUAAAGCACGAAAGCGUGGGUAUCGAACAGGAUUAGAUACCCUGGUAGUCCACGCCGUAAACUAUGAUUACUAGCUGUUUGCGAUAUAUUGUAAGCGGCACAGCGAAAGCGUUAAGUAAUCCACCUGGGGAGUACGCCGGCAACGGUGAA